Molecule: ribosomal RNA, 478 nt
Filed under: uncultured bacterium
Lineage: Bacteria
Description: partial 16S ribosomal RNA
Rfam family: Bacterial small subunit ribosomal RNA
Source: RNAcentral
GACGAACGCUGGCGGCGUGCUUAACACAUGCAAGUCGAACGGUAAGGCCCUUCGGGGUACACGAGUGGCGAACGGGUGAGUAACACGUGGGUGAUCUGCCCUGCACUUCGGGAUAAGCCUGGGAAACUGGGUCUAAUACCGGAUAGGACUCCGGACUGCAUGGUCUGGGGUGGAAAGCUUUUGCGGUGUGGGAUGGGCCCGCGGCCUAUCAGCUUGUUGGUGGGGUGAUGGCCUACCAAGGCGACGACGGGUAGCCGGCCUGGGAGGGUGACCGGCCACACUGGGACUGAGAUACGGCCCAGAAUCCUACGGGAGGCAGCAGUGGGGAAUAUUGCUCAAUGGGCGCAAGCCUGAUGCAGCGACGCCGCGUGAGGGAUGACGGCCUUCGGGUUGUAAACCUCUUUCAGCAUCGACGAAGCGAAAGUGACGGUAGGUGCAGAAGAAGGACCGGCCAACUACGUGCCAGCCGCCGCCGUAA